CAGCUUCCCCGGCCCCUCCGCCGCGCAGGUGACCCAGCGCCAGGUGAGCCCCGCGGGGGCACCUGUGGAGCCCGUCCCGCCUCUGCCGGCGGCUCCUCGGGCACCGGGACCGCGGGGAACGCUCGGGGGACGCUCGGGGGACGGGUCCGGCCUCCCCCGGCCCUGGCUCUGGGGCCGAGGGGGUUCCUGGCCGUAUCCCGGAGGGAUCCCGGCAGGAUGCCGCCAUCAGCACCACGGACAGCGCCCGGCGGCUCCUCCGGGCAGGGCUGGACCGGGACACGACCCGGGCAUCCCUGACCGGGCACCGGCACCCGCCCGGACCCUCCCCGGAGAUCAACGGCAGGUCCCCGAGGCGACGCUGGACUGUCCCCGGGCCAGGCAGGUGCCAGGAAAAGCCCGGGGCAGACGGGAGCGCGAGCGGUGCCGGAGGGACACGAGCGGCACUCAGGAGCAGGGACGGGGCUGCAGGCAAGCUGUGCUGAAGCCAGGAAUGGACUGACAGAGGAAUCCCCAGGGCCCCAGCAGGAUGCAUUAACAGUGUGUCUCUCUGGUGAGCCGUGAUGGGAAGAGCACGGAGCAAAAAAGAAGAGAGAACCCGAAGAGCAGGUCUCUGGAAGGAUCCAGGCUGACAGCAAUAUUGCCAUCUGAGUGAAGAGAACUCAGACACACAUAAUCCUCGGGAAAAUUCAUCUCCACCCUCCCGCAGACCCCGCUCUCCAGUCCCUCUGCCUUUCUCUCUCUCCACCUUCCCUCUGAUUGCCGAGCAGCUUUUUGACUUUUCCAUCAAUAAGUCUAAAGAGCAUUUGAAGCGCUCUGAAGCCCCUUUUCUCCUCCCUCCCAGUUCCAAGUCAGGCGAGCUCAUCGAUCAGAGGAGCUCAGGAAAUAUCUGGUGUUUUGUUGUCAGGCUGAUAAUAACAUUGCAGUUGUGAAUGGGCUGCUGCAGGCCUGAUCAUGGACACCUGCAGGGUUUGUUUAAUUGCAUUUAAUGACAAAUCCUAUACAGAGGAGCAUUGCCAGAGAGAUUUAUUAUCCACCAAAGAGGCAAAGCACAACAGCUCAAAAUAUAAUUUGCACUGAGCCUUUUUCCCCCUGCCUCUCUUUAAAGCAGUGUAAUAAAUGGCAAAUCGGGUAAAGUGGGCACCACGGGUCUGGGGAGGAGGUGGGGGCAGAGGACAGAGAUUGAAACCAAAGGAAAUAACAGCAAUAAGGCCACAUUGUUCUCUCUGCCAUCCCUGUGGUCUGGUCUAGAGGAAACACUGUUUGUUUAAUUUACAGCCUGGAAGUGCAGCUGGGGAUCUCUCGGUGAUGAGCCUGUUCUGGCACAGCUGGGGGCCAAAAGUCCCCGCUCCUUCCAACCAGGCUUUUCCCCCCGUGCUCUGCAGCUAAGUUGAGCUCCCAUCCAUACAAACAAUUACCAAGGAACUCCAGCAGCCUCCCAGCUGCCACUGGUACGAGGAGCCGGGAGCUUCCACAUCCCUGAAAUCUCUGGGACAAAGCAGAGGUGUCCUGAAAAAUAUCACGGUGAGAAAUAUGGCCCCACGGAGACAGAUCCCACGAGCUGGAGUCUAGACAUUGCACGACUCUGAGCCUGGAAUUUAUGCUUCCUACUAAAUACCCUGCUCUUAAAAGGGAAUGGCUGAGUGUAAAACCACAAGAAGAGUUCAGGUCUCGCUCAUACUUCUUUUGUCUUGAUUUUUAUGUGAUUUUCUAGCAAUGAUUUGUGGUAAAUCCCUUCCUGCAGCUGGUGUGUCACUGUGCAGUGUCACUCCAGAACGAGGACUGAAAAGUGUCCUUGUCACCUGAAAUUACAGUCCAGGUUAGCACUUCCCAAACUGUCUCCUCUCUCCAGUUCAUCCAUCUGUACAAUUCCUCCUCUCUUCUAAUUAGCCUGGGCAGAAGAGUGAAUUGUCCUGAAUUUUUAUUUCUAAAUCAUCUCACUCCCCAAAUGUUUUCGUUAGAGACCUCUCUGUGGGAGGGCAGAGAGGAAAAUGUGUGAUGGUUUAAGUGAAAUUCUUCAGUUUAGGACAUCCAAGAGUGAUCUUAUAUUCAGUGUGAAGCUCACUUGAUAUUCAGCUUAGGAUCAUGGAAUAUCCUGAGUUGGAAGGGACCCACAAGGAUCAUCCAAGUCCAACUCCUGGUUAAAUUUUUCCCUUUCAAUGGUGCACCCCGAGAAGUUUGGGGGUGAUGGGGAUCCUGUACAAGAACCCCCCCCUCUGCAGUGCUGCUCUGGGGCUCAGUGCAGGCAGCAGUUGGUACUGUCCUUACACAAACACGGUGUUGGGUAACACCUGGACCCAGUUUUAUCUGAUUUCCUGGACAAUGGUGGUAUCACUAAUGCUCCCUGUUAAAUAAGACCACCUGGACAUCUCCUGGUAUCAGCUCCAGUUAUCACAAACACUCUUGCUACCUAGGCCAGCACAAAGGACUCUUAUCUCCAGAGCAGCACAAAUCCCCUGACUGAAACAACCCAUCUGGAGUUUGAUUAAAGUGCCCAUAGAAAGCACAUAUGUUAAAGAAAAAAAGGGAGGGAGGAAGGGAGGGAUGGGGCUGCUCUCUGUGAGCUCACACAGGGCACAACCCCUGUCAAGAGCAGGAAACCCUCUCCUGUUGCUCCACACUCUUUCUCCUCCCAUGAAAGGAGCAGCAGCUCCUGAGGGAUAGUUUUUGUUUCUUUCCCUUUCAUUUAUUUUUUUUUUGUGCCAC
Molecule: long non-coding RNA, 2703 nt
Organism: Pipra filicauda (Wire-tailed manakin)
Lineage: Eukaryota; Metazoa; Chordata; Aves; Passeriformes; Pipridae
Exons: 5
Source: RefSeq, a predicted model, not a curated record